GAUGAACGCUGGCGGCGUGCCUAAUACAUGCAAGUCGAGCGAACGGACGAGAAGCUUGCUUCUCUGAUGUUAGCGGCGGACGGGUGAGUAACACGUGGAUAACCUACCUAUAAGACUGGGAUAACUUCGGGAAACCGGAGCUAAUACCGGAUAAUAUUUUGAACCGCAUGGUUCAAAAGUGGAAGACGGUCUUGCUGUCACUUAUAGAUGGAUCCGCGCUGCAUUAGCUAGUUGGUAAGGUAACGGCUUACCAAGGCAACGAUGCAUAGCCGACCUGAGAGGGUGAUCGGCCACACUGGAACUGAGACACGGUCCAGACUCCUACGGGAGGCAGCAGUAGGGAAUCUUCCGCAAUGGGCGAAAGCCUGACGGAGCAACGCCGCGUGAGUGAUGAAGGUCUUCGGAUCGUAAAACUCUGUUAUUAGGGAAGAACAUAUGUGUAAGUAACUGUGCACAUCUUGACGGUACCUAAUCAGAAAGCCACGGCUAACUACGUGCCAGCAGCCGCGGUAAUACGUAGGUGGCAAGCGUUAUCCGGAAUUAUUGGGCGUAAAGCGCGCGUAGGCGGUUUUUUAAGUCUGAUGUGAAAGCCCACGGCUCAACCGUGGAGGGUCAUUGGAAACUGGAAAACUUGAGUGCAGAAGAGGAAAGUGGAAUUCCAUGUGUAGCGGUGAAAUGCGCAGAGAUAUGGAGGAACACCAGUGGCGAAGGCGACUUUCUGGUCUGUAACUGACGCUGAUGUGCGAAAGCGUGGGGAUCAAACAGGAUUAGAUACCCUGGUAGUCCACGCCGUAAACGAUGAGUGCUAAGUGUUAGGGGGUUUCCGCCCCUUAGUGCUGCAGCUAACGCAUUAAGCACUCCGCCUGGGGAGUACGACCGCAAGGUUGAAACUCAAAGGAAUUGACGGGGACCCGCACAAGCGGUGGAGCAUGUGGUUUAAUUCGAAGCAACGCGAAGAACCUUACCAAAUCUUGACAUCCUUUGACAACUCUAGAGAUAGAGCUUUCCCCUUCGGGGGACAAAGUGACAGGUGGUGCAUGGUUGUCGUCAGCUCGUGUCGUGAGAUGUUGGGUUAAGUCCCGCAACGAGCGCAACCCUUAAACUUAUUUGCCAUCAUUAAGUUGGGCACUCUAAGUUGACUGCCGGUGACAAACCGGAGGAAGGUGGGGAUGACGUCAAAUCAUCAUGCCCCUUAUGAUUUGGGCUACACACGUGCUACAAUGGACAAUACAAAGGGCAGCGAAACCGCGAGGUCAAGCAAAUCCCAUAAAGUUGUUCUCAGUUCGGAUUGUAGUCUGCAACUCGACUACAUGAAGCUGGAAUCGCUAGUAAUCGUAGAUCAGCAUGCUACGGUGAAUACGUUCCCGGGUCU
This 1372-nucleotide ribosomal RNA is filed under the name uncultured bacterium. RNAcentral's name for it is "bacterial SSU rRNA". It matches the Rfam family "Bacterial small subunit ribosomal RNA", at positions 28 to 1381 of the family's 1533-position model. The record is from RNAcentral.